Molecule: unclassified non-coding RNA, 279 nt
Filed under: plant metagenome
Description: partial contains small subunit ribosomal RNA, internal transcribed spacer 1, and 5.8S ribosomal RNA
Source: RNAcentral
UUUCCGUAGGUGAACCUGCGGAAGGAUCAUUAACAUAUAUCUGACGGCGAGGGUUCGCCCCGCUCAGGACCGAAAGGCGGUGAAGCGGGCGAGCCCGAGCGGCUCAACCUUUGCAUACACCACUGUGAACUUUUGUCGGCAAAGGACCCGCGUGGCCCCGAGCCAGAACACAAACACUAAUUUACAGAACGAUCUGUUGCCGCAGCGCCGCCGAAACCUUAACAAUGUUUAACAACAGAUCUGAUUGCCCUCGCAUCGAUGAAGAACGGAACAGAUAGG